GAACGUCGUGAGACAGUUCGGUCCCUAUCUGCCGUGGGCGCUGGAGAACUGAGGGGGGCUGCUCCUAGUACGAGAGGACCGGAGUGGACGCAUCACUGGUGUUCGGGUUGUCAUGCCAAUGGCACUGCCCGGUAGCUAAAUGCGGAAGAGAUAAGUGCUGAAAGCAUCUAAGCACGAAACUUGCCCCGAGAUGAGUUCUCCCUGACUCCUUGAGAGUCCUGAAGGAACGUUGAAGACGACGACGUUGAUAGGCCGGGUGUGUAAGCGCAGCGAUGCGUUGAGCUAACCGGUACUAAUGAACCGUGAGGCUUAACCUUACAACGCCGAAG
Molecule: ribosomal RNA, 329 nt
Filed under: Escherichia coli
Lineage: Bacteria; Pseudomonadati; Pseudomonadota; Gammaproteobacteria; Enterobacterales; Enterobacteriaceae
Description: partial 23S ribosomal RNA
Rfam family: Bacterial large subunit ribosomal RNA
Source: RNAcentral